This 279-nucleotide ribosomal RNA is filed under the name uncultured Staphylococcus sp. RNAcentral describes it as "partial 16S ribosomal RNA". It matches the Rfam family "Bacterial small subunit ribosomal RNA", at positions 505 to 783 of the family's 1533-position model. Lineage: Bacteria; Bacillati; Bacillota; Bacilli; Caryophanales; Staphylococcaceae. The record is from RNAcentral.
GUGCCAGCAGCCGCGGUAAUACGUAGGUGGCAAGCGUUAUCCGGAAUUAUUGGGCGUAAAGCGCGCGUAGGCGGUUUUUUAAGUCUGAUGUGAAAGCCCACGGCUCAACCGUGGAGGGUCAUUGGAAACUGGAAAACUUGAGUGCAGAAGAGGAAAGUGGAAUUCCAUGUGUAGCGGUGAAAUGCGCAGAGAUAUGGAGGAACACCAGUGGCGCAGGCGACUUUCUGGUCUGUAACUGACGCUGAUGUGCGAAAGCGUGGGGAUCAAACAGGAUUAGAU